RNAcentral lists this transfer RNA (52 nucleotides) under Schizaea elegans. Its description in RNAcentral is "partial tRNA-Leu". The record is from RNAcentral. Lineage: Eukaryota; Viridiplantae; Streptophyta; Polypodiopsida; Schizaeales; Schizaeaceae.
AAAAUCCGCUGGUCUUUGCAAGACCGUGAGGGUUCGAGUCCCUCCAUCCCCA